UGGGGAAUAUUGCACAAUGGGCGCAAGCCUGAUGCAGCCAUGCCGCGUGUAUGAAGAAGGCCUUCGGGUUGUAAAGUACUUUCAGCGAGGAGGAAGGCGUUGUGGUUAAUAACCGCAGCGAUUGACGUUACUCGCAGAAGAAGCACCGGCUAACUCCGUGCCAGCAGCCGCGGUAAUACGGAGGGUGCAAGCGUUAAUCGGAAUUACUGGGCGUAAGCGCACGCAGGCGGUCUGUCAAGUCGGAUGUGAAAUCCCCGGGCUCAACCUGGGAACUGCAUCCGAAACUGGCAGGCUAGAGUCUUGUAGAGGGGGGUAGAAUUCCAGGUGUAGCGGUGAAAUGCGUAGAGAUCUGGAGGAAUACCGGUGGCGAAGGCGGCCCCCUGGACAAAGACUGACGCUCAGGUGCGAAAGCGUGGGGAGCAAACA
RNAcentral lists this ribosomal RNA (426 nucleotides) under uncultured bacterium. Its description in RNAcentral is "partial 16S ribosomal RNA". It matches the Rfam family "Bacterial small subunit ribosomal RNA", at positions 355 to 774 of the family's 1533-position model. The record is from RNAcentral.